Molecule: unclassified non-coding RNA, 391 nt
Filed under: soil metagenome
Description: partial contains 5.8S ribosomal RNA, internal transcribed spacer 2, and large subunit ribosomal RNA
Rfam family: 5.8S ribosomal RNA (bases 1-122)
Source: RNAcentral
GAUGAAGAAUGUAGCGAAAUGCGAUACUUGGUGUGAAUUGCAGAAUCCCGUGAACCAUCGAGUCUUUGAACGCAAGUUGCGCCCGAAGCCAUUAGGCCGAGGGCACGCCUGCCUGGGCGUCACACGUCGUUGCCCCCCCAUCUACUCCUUCGGGAUUGCGGGGGGCGGAUGAUGGCCUCUCGUGCGCCUCGUCGCGCGGUUGGCCUAAAUGCCAAGUCCUCGGCGACGCACGCCACGACAAUCGGUGGUUGCGAAACCUCGGUUGCCUGUCGUGUGCGGUCGUCGCGCAUCGAGGGCUCGAAAAAAUUGCCGGGCUUCGGCUCGACUUUCAACGCGACCCCAGGUCAGGCGGGGUUACCCGCUGAAUUUAAGCAUAUCAAUAAGCGGAGGA